AAUAUUGCGCAAUGGAGGGAACUCUGACGCAGCGACGCCGCGUGAGCGAUGAAGGUCUUCGGAUCGUAAAGCUCUGUCCUUGGGGAAGAAGGGAGCCGUAAGGCUUCUUGACGGUACGCAUGGAGGAAGCCCCGGCUAACUACGUGCCAGCAGCCGCGGUAAUACGUAGGGGGCAAGCGUUGUCCGGAAUUAUUGGGCGUAAAGGGUGCGUAGGCGGCCCUUUAAGUCAGAUGUGAAAGCCCACGGCUUAACCGUGGGACUGCAUUUGAAACUGGAGGGCUUGAGUGUCGGAGAGGGCAGUGGAAUUCCCAGUGUAGCGGUGGAAUGCGUAGAUAUUAGGAGGAAUACCAGUGGCGAAGGCGACUUUCUGGACUUUUUCUGACGCUGAGGAACGAAAGCAUGGGGAGCAAACA
This 413-nucleotide ribosomal RNA is filed under the name uncultured bacterium. RNAcentral describes it as "partial 16S ribosomal RNA". It matches the Rfam family "Bacterial small subunit ribosomal RNA", at positions 360 to 774 of the family's 1533-position model. The record is from RNAcentral.